GACGAACGCUGGCGGCGUGCUUAACACAUGCAAGUCGAACGGAAAGGCCCUGCUUGCCGGGUACUCGAGUGGCGAACGGGUGAGUAACACGUGGGUGAUCUGCCCUGCACUUCGGGAUAAGCCUGGGAAACUGGGUCUAAUACCGGAUAGGAGCCAUUUUUAGUGUGAUGGUUGGAAAGUUUUUUCGGUGUAGGAUGAGCUCGCGGCCUAUCAGCUUGUUGGUGGGGUAAUGGCCUACCAAGGCGGCGACGGGUAGCCGGCCUGAGAGGGUGGACGGCCACAUUGGGACUGGGAUACGGCCCAGACUCCUACGGGAGGCAGCAGGGGGGAAUAUUGCACAAUGGGCGCAAGCCUGAUGCAGCGACGCCGGGGGGGGGAUGACGGCCUUCGGGUUGUAAACUCCUUUCGCUGGGGACGAAGCUUUUUGGGACGGUACCUAGAUAAGAAGCACCGGCUAAAUACGU
This 464-nucleotide ribosomal RNA is filed under the name uncultured bacterium. RNAcentral's name for it is "partial 16S ribosomal RNA". It matches the Rfam family "Bacterial small subunit ribosomal RNA", at positions 28 to 506 of the family's 1533-position model. The record is from RNAcentral.